Molecule: ribosomal RNA, 468 nt
Filed under: uncultured bacterium
Lineage: Bacteria
Description: partial 16S ribosomal RNA
Rfam family: Bacterial small subunit ribosomal RNA
Source: RNAcentral
GACGAACGCUGGCGGCGUGCUUAACACAUGCAAGUCGAACGGAAAGGCCCUGCUCUUGUGGGGUGCUCGAGUGGCGAACGGGUGAGUAACACGUGAGUAACCUGCCCUUGACUUUGGGAUAACUUCAGGAAACUGGGGCUCUUACCGCAUAGGAGCUCCUGCUGCAUGGUGGGGGUUGGAAAGUUUCGGCGGUUGGGGAUGGACUCGCGGCUUAUCAGCUUGAUGGUGGGGUAGUGGCUUACCAAGUCUUUGACGGGUAGCCGGCCUGGGAGGGUGACCGGCCACAUUGGGACUGAGAGACGGCGCAGACUCCUACGGGAGGCAGCAGUGGAGAAUAUGGCACAAUAGGCGGAAGCCUGAUGCAGCAACGCCGCGUGCGGGAUGACGGCCUUCGGGUUGUAAACCGCUGUCGCCUGUGACGAAGCGGGAGUGACGGUAAUGGGUAAAGAAGCACCGGCUAACUACGUG